UUUUCCUACGGGGGGCAGCAGUGGGGAAUAUUGCACAAUGGGGGGAACCCUGAUGCAGCGACGCCGCGUGGGUGAGGAAGUACUUCGGUAUGUAAAGCCCUAUCAGCAGGGAAGAAAAUGACGGUACCUGACUAAGAAGCCCCGGCUAACUACGUGCCAGCAGCCGCGGUAAUACGUAGGGGGCAAGCGUUAUCCGGAUUUACUGGGUGUAAAGGGAGCGUAGACGGCGUGCCAAGUCUGAUGUGAAAGGCCGGGGCUCAACCCCGGGACUGCAUUGGAAACUGGCGGGCUAGAGAGCAGGAGAG
RNAcentral lists this ribosomal RNA (305 nucleotides) under uncultured bacterium. RNAcentral's name for it is "bacterial SSU rRNA". It matches the Rfam family "Bacterial small subunit ribosomal RNA", at positions 334 to 656 of the family's 1533-position model. The record is from RNAcentral.